GUGAGGAAUCUUGCGCAAUGGGGGAAACCCUGACGCAGCAACGCCGCGUGAGUGAGGAAGGUCUUCGGAUCGUAAAGCUCUGUCAGAUGGAAAGAACCGCACGGGGGUAAACAGCCCCUGUGUCUGACGGUACCAUCAGAGGAAGCACCGGCUAACUCCGUGCCAGCAGCCGCGGUAAUACGGGGGGUGCAAGCGUUGUUCGGAAUUAUUGGGCGUAAAGAGCGUGUAGGCGGCCUGAUAUGUCAGAUGUGAAAGCCCUGGGCUUAACCCAGGAAGUGCAUUUGAAACUGUCAGGCUCGAGUAGGGGAGAGGGAAGUGGAAUUCCUGGUGUAGAGGUGAAAUUCGUAGAUAUCAGGAGGAACACCGGUGGCGAAGGCGACUUCCUGGCCCUAUACUGACGCUGAGACGCGAGAGCGUGGGUAGCAAACAGGAUUAGAUACCCCUGUAGUCC
This 451-nucleotide ribosomal RNA is filed under the name uncultured bacterium. RNAcentral describes it as "partial 16S ribosomal RNA". It matches the Rfam family "Bacterial small subunit ribosomal RNA", at positions 354 to 796 of the family's 1533-position model. The record is from RNAcentral.